This 3131-nucleotide unclassified non-coding RNA is filed under the name Leishmania donovani. RNAcentral's name for it is "gene:LdHU3.09.1700(CDS-product:hypothetical_prote in_conserved)". The record is from RNAcentral. Lineage: Eukaryota; Euglenozoa; Kinetoplastea; Trypanosomatida; Trypanosomatidae.
ACACACGUGGUGCUCAGCAUGUUCAGCGCGUCACAUGUAGAUGAGCUGCUCGCCAGCACCGUUCGCACUUUGCAGCGCUCGCAGGUGCUGCUCGAUGAGCGGCGCAGCGUCAUCCAAGGCCGGCAAGGCCUCCCACCCGUGUUUUGCGUAGCAGCAUCUUCAGCCGCCGCGGCCUCCGCCGGCUCAAGCGCAGCGGCGCCGCACGCGAGCACGAGUGGCAGCUUUGCCGAUACCGUCCGCUCCCUCCAAUCGCUCGGUGAGUUUCGCUCGUACGUCGAGGCCGCCGCUGAGAUGAUGAAGAGGGUACGCGAGGAAGGCAUGGCACCGUCUCCGGCGAUGCAGCAGCGGCGUGCAAGGGGCCAGGAUUUUGCGCUGCUGCAAAGCAUGAUGCGCGGGCUGCGAGGGGCGAUGACGGCAGCGUGGCAGACGUCAGAGGCGACAGCCGCGCUGUGGGCAUCCUCCACGGAGGCUUGCGGUGGCGCUGAGGAGGCGGCAGCCGCCGAAGACGCGGCGUCGGCGGCGGCUGGAAGCGCCUUGUGUGCAGUGCCAGGUGCACACAGUGGUAGUACCCGAAGCAGCGGUGCACAGCUCACGUCGACGCUUAUCUUUAGCGCCUUCUGCGUGGACCUUGCAAUCGCGGUGCCCCGUGCGGCCUCCGCCGUCGCGGCGGAGCUGGCGUCUGUCUUCCAACCGUCUAGCGAUAAUGUCAGGCCGCCAUCACUGGUGUCGGAGUGGAUGAGAGAUGGCAACGUCAAGCUCAGUGCGUUGCUGCGCGACGUCGCUGCUCUGCUACCACCACCGGUGAAGACGCGCCUCGUCGCGCGCCUCGCUGACGUGCUGUUUCGGCCCUCUCCCGCCCUGCCUCGUUCCCCCAAAGAGUCCUCCGGCCACCCACUGGGGUUUGAGCUCUUGAGCGGCGGCCAGCUGCUUCUGCCGACUUUGGACUACUAUCUGCUUGAGCAAUAUCCCUCCUCGCUCGCGUCGCGGUGGUUUCUGCAGCCGCUUCAAACUACCGCUGAGCACCUCCGCGCCGACUAUUACGCGAGCGCCGACCAGUUUCACGUGCAGUGUCGCUGGCUCCUUCGACUUGUCUUGACGCUCUUGUACGCCUGCCAGUCCGCCGCCCUGCCACCUCGGCGUCAUCCCGGCCACCGCUGGAGCGUCGAUUACGCACCGCGCAACGACUCUACGACGCGUGGCUGAUCCCGCUAGAGAAGACGUUCGGCAACGGUACAGCGCGGCACGGCAUGUCGGUUUCGUUCAAUCGUGCUCUCGUGCAGCCCCAUGGCCACGUUGUGGAGCGCCUGCUGUUUGCCUCAUCGCCCGCCUCAGGUGUCAGCGGCGUCAGCAAGGUGGUGCAACAGUCACGUGAGUGGUCCGGUAUCCUGUACUCCGCACAGUACCGCCUGCUCCUCAUCCUCGAGAAGCUGGCGCACUCGGAGAUGGCGCAGGUAAACGGCACCAGUAGCACCUCUGCGAAGCAGCGCACUUACGAAGCGAUGCUGCGCCAGAACGGCGGUAAAGUAAGCGUCUCCCUUCUGCAGACCCUCGCAGAGGACAAGCAGCUCGUGCUGGACGAGACGCCGUCGCGCUCGCCGGAUGGACACCGUCUGUACAAGCUGCACGAUGGCCUGCUCGAUGGCAGCGGCAAGGCAGUGUUUGUGUACUUGGACGAUGGUGCGCUCUUCACCAAAGUUGGCAGAGCUCGCGCCUUCCAGCGCGUCAAGAGCGUCGAGGACAUUUUCAAGUCGCUUCAGUGACGUCUGUGUGCGUGUGUCAGCGGCUCACUGCGGCAAGGGGAUGCGGCGGCAGCGGCGGGGGUUGCUGGGCACGGGGCGGUACUGUGCAGAAAAAGAGAAAGAGGGCGCUGUGUGUGUGUGUUAGGUGGAGAGGGGCGAGGAAAGAUGUGCGGCGCCACUGCAGGAAAGGGUGGUUCAGCGCACACUCGCCACACCGCCCGCUGCUGCCAGUGGCGAGGCGAUGACGCAGGUUGCCCAGUCGAGAGGCUCCCCUGCUGUGCUGCCGACAGCUGACCGCUUCCUUUGGAGGCUCUACCUGCGCGCACUCAGGCACAUAUUAAGCCGAAAGCACGUGCGUGAACGCUGCCUCUUGCUGCCCGCCGGCCGAACUUCGCUGUGCCAAUGCGGCGCUAUCUGUCCGGCCAUGCCCACGGUGAGCUCUUCUUGUUUGUGAAACAAACAAAUCAAACGGAGCGUGAGAUAGCGCUCGCUGAGCGAGCACUCGAGGGGUGGGAAAGGAGGAGGAUCAGUUUAGCAGGGCAUUGGCGGCAAGCGUCAUGCUGCUCUGUUUCGUCGACGCCUUCCUGCUUGCCCCAUUACGCCUGUGCCCCCCCCCCACUCGCAUUGCGGCGGGAGGUGAGGUCCAGCAGGAGCGCUUUGGCGAGGCCCUCUGGCGCGCAUCCGUUGCCGAUGACAUCGUGGAACGCGUCCGUCUUACACGGUCGAGCGAGCUCCAGCGCGCCUUUGAACUCCUUCUGCCUAGCCUUCGGAUUUGGCGAGCUACGAGUACAGGGCUGCCCAGGUCGGCGCUGGAGGUGCGAGACGCACGCUUAGCCCCAUUUUCGCAGCCUCGUUCGCGAACGAGUUUCUGUUACAAGUGUCGUGCACACGUAUCGGUGCUUGUUCUCGAGUGAGUAAGUGCUGUCGUGCAGACGCAGAGGCAAUAAUCCCACCGGCACCGUAUAAGGGGAAGGAAAAAGGUAACGAUAUGCCCUGGCUCUGCUUCUCGAGUCCACCAGCAUCAACGCGGACAUGUGUGCCGUGUUGGAGACGAGAGUGGAGUGUAGGCGAAGUCGGCGGCUCCGCACAGAGCAGAUCAGAGCUGGGGCAUGUCCCUCUUCUUCGCCCCACUUCUCAGGCCCCGCUUCCCUGCCCCCGCCCUUCGGGUCGAAGCAGAGGCGAGAGAACGAAAGGCGUUGGAAAGGCAAGACAAGGGAGGUACGAAGGUUCGGCGCAUGCGACGUCCUCCCGCGGCUCAUCUUCCUGUCCUCUCCUGCAGAGGCGGCACUUUGGCGGUGAGAGGAUGCAAGCGGUGGAGGCACGACUCAGUUGUUCUUUGCUCAUGUGGCGGUGUGUGUGUCUCUCGUGAUUACCUGCUGUGCGCAGCCGAGG